This 253-nucleotide ribosomal RNA is filed under the name uncultured bacterium. Its description in RNAcentral is "partial 16S ribosomal RNA". It matches the Rfam family "Bacterial small subunit ribosomal RNA", at positions 524 to 776 of the family's 1533-position model. The record is from RNAcentral.
AACGUAGGAGACAAACGUUAUCCGGAUUUACUGGGCGUAAAGCGCGUUCAGGCGGUCUGGCAAGUCGGGCAUGAAAUCUCUCGGCUCAACCGGGAGGGGUUGUCCGAUACUGCUGGACUUGAGGGCAGGAGAGGGUGGUGGAAUUCCGGGUGUAGUGGUGAAAUGCGUAGAGAUCCGGAGGAACACCAGUGGCGAAGGCGGCCACCUGGCCUGCACCUGACGCUGAAACGCGAAAGCUAGGGGAGCGAACGGG